AGUCUUUGUAGCAUUACAAGGCAUACGGCUCAGUAACACGUAGUCAAUCUACCCUAUGGACGGGGAUAACCUCGGGAAACUGAUAAUAAUACCCGAUAGAUCAUUAUACCUGGAAUGGUUUAUGGUUCAAAUGAUUUUUCGCCGUAGGAUGGGACUGCGGUCUAUCAGCUUGUUGGUGAGGUAAUGGCCCACCAAGGCUAUAACAGAUACGGGCUCUGAGAGGAGAAGCCCGAAGAUGGGUACUGAGACACGGACCCAGGCCCUAUGGGGCGCAGCAGGCGAGAAAACUUUGCAAUGUGCGAAAGCACGACAAGGUUAAUCCGAGUGUUUUCUGCUAAAGAAAUCUUUUGUUAGUUUUAAAACCACUAUCGAAUAAGGGGUGGGCAAGUUCUGGUGUCAGCCGCCGCGGUAAAACCAGCACCUCAAGUGGUCAGGAUGAUUAUUGGGCCUAAAGCAUCCGUAGCCGGCUUUGUUAGUUUUCGGUUAAAUCUAUAUGCUCAACAUAUAGGCUGCCGGGAAUACUGCAAAGCUAGGGAGUGGGAGAGGUAGACGGUACUCCGUAGGAAGGGGUAAAAUCCUUUGAUCUAUGGAUGACCACCUGUGGCGAAGGCGGUCUACCAGAACAUGUCCGACGGUGAGGGAUGAUAGCUGGGGGAGCAAACCGGAUUAGAUACCCGGGUAGUCCCAGCUGUAAACUAUGCAAACUCAGUGAUGCAUUGGCUUGUGGCCAGUGCAGUGCCGCAGGGAAGCCGUUAAGUUUGCCGCCUGGGAAGUACGUACGCAAGUAUGAAACUUAAAGGAAUUGGCGGGGGAGCACCACAAGGGGUGAAGCCUGCGGUUCAAUUGGAGUCAACGCCAGAAAUCUUACCCGGAGAGACAGCAGGAUGAAGGUCAAGCUGAAGACUUUACCAGACAAGCUGAGAAGUGGUGCAUGGCCGUCGCCAGCUCGUGCCGUGAGAUGUCCUGUUAAGUCAGGUAACGAGCGAGAUCCUUGCCUCUAGUUGCCACCAUUACUCUCAGGAGUAGUGGGGCGAAUUAGCGGGACUGCCGUAGUUAAUACGGAGGAAGGAGAGGGCCACGGCAGGUCAGUAUGCCCUGAAACUCUGGGGCCACACGCGGGCUGCAAUGGUAGUGACAAUGGGUUCCGGAUCCGAAAGGAGAGUAU
RNAcentral lists this ribosomal RNA (1165 nucleotides) under uncultured archaeon. RNAcentral's name for it is "bacterial SSU rRNA". It matches the Rfam family "Archaeal small subunit ribosomal RNA", at positions 56 to 1226 of the family's 1478-position model. The record is from RNAcentral.